CUGUGGUAGCGUCAUAAAGCCAUAACAAAUGAGACUUCCAUCAAAAACAUAUUUUUUUUUCAAAUAUUAGAGCAUAGAAAUGUUUUAAGAGAAUGUUUUUUUCCAAUAUUUGUUGAAUUGUUUCUCACAAACUCUAAAGUCUUGUAUCCUGGGAUGGCAGAAAGCUGCUUGGCACGUCUGAAAUGUGAGAGGUGGAUAAUUCCACCACAGGCGUCUUAGAGGCACCAGCAAAGGCGGAGAUGGAAGCAGGCCGCCCCGCCAGCUGAAGCUGUGGGACGGAACUUCGAGUUUAGACAACUGCUUAUCCUCACAAGGGGGCACGGGAGUGCUGAAACCUAUCCUAGUUGUCAACGGGCAGGAGGCGAGGUACACCCUGAACUGAUUGCCAUCCAAUCGCAGGGCACCUGAAGACAGACAUCAGUUGCACUCACAAUCACACCAAGGUGAAAUUUAGAGUGUCCAAUUAAUGUUGCAUGUUUUUGGGAUGUGAGAGGAAACCAGAAUGUCUGGA
Long non-coding RNA from Syngnathoides biaculeatus (alligator pipefish), 511 nucleotides. RefSeq lists it as uncharacterized. Lineage: Eukaryota; Metazoa; Chordata; Actinopteri; Syngnathiformes; Syngnathidae. The transcript has 3 exons. The record is from RefSeq and is a predicted model, not a curated record.